RNAcentral lists this signal recognition particle RNA (297 nucleotides) under Cebus imitator (Panamanian white-faced capuchin). RNAcentral's name for it is "Metazoan signal recognition particle RNA (ENSCCAG00000008464.1)". It matches the Rfam family "Metazoan signal recognition particle RNA". From Rfam's summary of the family: The signal recognition particle (SRP) is a universally conserved ribonucleoprotein. Lineage: Eukaryota; Metazoa; Chordata; Mammalia; Primates; Cebidae. The record is from RNAcentral.
GCAGGCGCGGUGGCGUGAGCCUGGAGUCCCAGCUACUCUGGAGGCUGAGGUGGGAGGAUCGCCUGAGCCCAGGAGGUCUGGGCUGUAGUAUGCUAUGCCAAUCGGGUGUCUGCACUAAGUUCGGCAUCAAUAUAGUGAACUUCGGGAGCCGGGGACCACCAAGUCGCCUAAGGAGGGUUAAACCCACCCAGGUUACAAACAGAGCAGGUCAAAACUCCCGUGCUGAUCAGUAGUGGGAUCGCGCCUGUGAAUAGCCGCUGCACUCCAGCCUGGGAAACAAAGUGAGACCCCAUCUCU